This 479-nucleotide long non-coding RNA is filed under the name Panax ginseng (ginseng). Its description in RNAcentral is "long non-coding RNA (PGIN_LNC002935)". The record is from RNAcentral. Lineage: Eukaryota; Viridiplantae; Streptophyta; Magnoliopsida; Apiales; Araliaceae.
AGAGGCAAGAAGAGGGUAUAGCCUGGCAAAGUUAUCCCAAGAAAACAAUAUCAAAGUUGCAAUAUAUGGAGCAAAGAUCAAACAUAGUUUAGAAAAUGACUAAAGAUGUUCAAUGUUUUCUAUGCCUUGUCUAAGUAUUCAAGAAAUCUCAGAACAAAGCAUUACUGUUGCAAAAAAGAAGCUAAACUGCAUAUACAUAUAUACAGAUUAAAUCAAGAUUGAUAAAGAAAAUCAUCAAAUGGGUAAAUAAAUUUCAAAAUCCUCACUAACUAUUAGCAGUCUUCUAGAUGUGAUGGUUUAGUAUGAUGAAUUACAGCUAGCUUGAAGGCAUUUGAAUGAUGAAAGAAAAUGUCAAAAUAUAAAAGAUAAGAAACUUAUCUUUUUUUUCAGACUUUAUACCAAGCUAGUUUUCAUGAGACAUGACUGCAAAUCUGUAUUUCUGCAAAUCAAUUAUCCAAGACCUAAAGUCCAAGCUUAAA